AGAGUUUGAUCAUGGCUCAGGAUGAACGCUAGCUACAGGCUUAACACAUGCAAGUCGGGGGGAAACGACAUCGAAAGCUUGCUUUUGAUGGGCGUCGACCGGCGCACGGGUGAGUAACGCGUAUCCAACCUGCCCACCACUUGGGGAUAACCUUGCGAAAGUAAGACUAAUACCCAAUGACGUCUCUAGAAGACAUCUGAAGGAGAUUAAAGAUUUAUCGGUGAUGGAUGGGGAUGCGUCUGAUUAGCUUGUUGGCGGGGUAACGGCCACAAGGCGACGAUCAGUAGGGGUUCUGAGAGGAAGUCCCCCANAUUGGAACUGAGACACGGUCCAAACUCCUACGGGAGGCA
RNAcentral lists this ribosomal RNA (350 nucleotides) under uncultured bacterium. RNAcentral's name for it is "bacterial SSU rRNA". It matches the Rfam family "Bacterial small subunit ribosomal RNA", at positions 8 to 350 of the family's 1533-position model. The record is from RNAcentral.